This 484-nucleotide long non-coding RNA is filed under the name Androctonus crassicauda. Lineage: Eukaryota; Metazoa; Arthropoda; Arachnida; Scorpiones; Buthidae. The record is from RNAcentral.
AUUGUAAGUAACGGUACUAAUGAGGGACGGAUUUUUAUGUCCGAAAACGUUAAAAAAAAUUUUUUAAAAUACCUCAAUAAAUUAUUUCUCUUUGCAUGAAGUGCUAGUUUUUUGCCUUAUUGUAUAGGUUUUCAUUGUUCCACUGAGCUAAAAUGUGCCUUGAUGAUCCACAAGAUAUCUUCCAUGGACAAGAUUUAUCCACUUCAUUCUGAUAAGAAAAGUCAAUGGAUAAGUCAGUCAGGUUUCCCUGUUGGCAGCAAGCAACUGGUGGUUGUAGCUGAUCUUAUAUGGGUAACACUGCACCAUCUUUCUCAAUGUCUUCCAAUCUACACCAUAAAAAAUAGUUGUUACAACACAUUUGACUGCAACAUAUCUGCUUAUAUUGAUGAAACUGGUUUUUCAUUGCUUGCAAUGCUACAACUGCUUAGUGAUAAUUUUUAGUGUUUUUUUUAUAUAAGUGUCUUUUGUGUGUUCUGAAAUGCUG